GGUGCUAUAGUGUAGUGGUUAUCACUCGGGAUUUUGAUCAAUGAUAUUUAACAGAUUUCCCGAAACCCAGGUUCGAACCCUGGUAGCACCU
This is a non-coding RNA of Marasmius tenuissimus, 91 nucleotides long. Lineage: Eukaryota; Fungi; Basidiomycota; Agaricomycetes; Agaricales; Marasmiaceae. The record is from the annotation of a GenBank genome assembly.